GUGGGGAAUAUUGCACAAUGGGCGCAAGCCUGAUGCAGCCAUGCCGCGUGUAUGAAGAAGGCCUUCGGGUUGUAAAGUACUUUCAGCGGGGAGGAAGGCGAUAAGGUUAAUAACCUUGUCGAUUGACGUUACCCGCAGAAGAAGCACCGGCUAACUCCGUGCCAGCAGCCGCGGUAAUACGGAGGGUGCAAGCGUUAAUCGGAAUUACUGGGCGUAAAGCGCACGCAGGCGGUCUGUCAAGUCGGAUGUGAAAUCCCCGGGCUCAACCUGGGAACUGCAUUCGAAACUGGCAGGCUAGAGUCUUGUAGAGGGGGGUAGAAUUCCAGGUGUAGCGGUGAAAUGCGUAGUGAUCUGGAGGAAUACCGGUGGCGAAGGCGGCCCCCUGGACAAAGACUGACGCUCAGGUGCGAAAGCGUGGGGAGCAAACAGGAUUAGAAACCCUGGUAGUCC
RNAcentral lists this ribosomal RNA (450 nucleotides) under uncultured bacterium. Its description in RNAcentral is "partial 16S ribosomal RNA". It matches the Rfam family "Bacterial small subunit ribosomal RNA", at positions 354 to 796 of the family's 1533-position model. The record is from RNAcentral.